Molecule: ribosomal RNA, 264 nt
Filed under: uncultured archaeon
Lineage: Archaea
Description: partial 16S ribosomal RNA
Rfam family: Archaeal small subunit ribosomal RNA
Source: RNAcentral
ACUGACUAUUAGACGUUACCCGGGUAGUCCGAGGGUGUAAACGCUGCAGACUUGGUGUUGGAAAUCCUUCGGAGGGUAUUCAGUGCCGGAGAGAAGUUGUUAAGUCUGCUACUUGGGAGUACGUCCGCAAGGAUGAAACUUAAAGGAAUUGGCGGGGGAGCACCGCAACGGGAGGAGCGUGCGGUUUAAUUGGAUUCAACGCCGGAAAACUCACCAGGGAGACUGUUACAUGAAACCCAGACUAAUGAUCUUGGUUGAUUUCAG